UACGUAGGGUGCAAGCGUUAAUCGGAAUUACUGGGCGUAAAGCGUGCGCAGGCGGCUUUGCAAGACAGAUGUGAAAUCCCCGGGCUCAACCUGGGAACUGCAUUUGUGACUGCAUGGCUGGAGUGCGGCAGAGGGGGAUGGAAUUCCGCGUGUAGCAGUGAAAUGCGUAGAUAUGCGGAGGAACACCGAUGGCGGAAGGCAAUCCCCUGGGCCUGCACUGACGCUCAUGCACGAAAGCGUGGGGAG
This 246-nucleotide ribosomal RNA is filed under the name uncultured bacterium. RNAcentral describes it as "partial 16S ribosomal RNA". It matches the Rfam family "Bacterial small subunit ribosomal RNA", at positions 524 to 768 of the family's 1533-position model. The record is from RNAcentral.